RNAcentral lists this ribosomal RNA (253 nucleotides) under uncultured bacterium. RNAcentral's name for it is "partial 16S ribosomal RNA". It matches the Rfam family "Bacterial small subunit ribosomal RNA", at positions 524 to 776 of the family's 1533-position model. The record is from RNAcentral.
UACGGAGGGUGCGAGCGUUGUUCGGAAUUACUGGGCGUAAAGCGCGCGUAGGCGGACCCGCAAGUCGGGGGUGAAAGCCCGAGGCUCAACCUCGGAACUGCCUUCGAUACUGCGGGUCUCGAGUCCGGGAGAGGUGAGUGGAAUUCCUAGUGUAGAGGUGAAAUUCGUAGAUAUUAGGAAGAACACCAGUGGCGAAGGCGGCUCACUGGCCCGGUACUGACGCUGAGGCGCGAAAGCGUGGGGAGCAAACAGG